Long non-coding RNA from Cornus florida, 3455 nucleotides. RefSeq lists it as uncharacterized. The transcript has 3 exons. Lineage: Eukaryota; Viridiplantae; Streptophyta; Magnoliopsida; Cornales; Cornaceae. The record is from RefSeq and is a predicted model, not a curated record.
CAAUCAAAUACUAGGGUUAAAAUUAUCCCAACUGUUAUCCUUCCCUUCGAACCCACACCAAACAUAGCCUAAGACAAAAACCUCUUACGCGAUCUGAUGGGAAGCGUGGGCGUGGAAGGUACGAGCGAGACAGUGAAGAAUGAGUAAGGGAAGAUGAUACAGAGUCGUUGAGGAUGUCAUCGUCAGUGCGGAGAGGGAUGGAUUUGAGAACAAGGCGGUCGUGGUCCUCAUCGCCGCUGGUGCUAGAGGUGAUUGGCGUUCUCAUUGCCACUUCGCCACUGAUGCUAGAGGAAGUCGUCAUCCUCGUUAAUGUAAUUUUGUAAAAAAAACCCUAACCCACUUUCGUUUCCCCCUCCUCUCUCUCUGCGCAAUGCCGCCAGUCCACCCGCCUUCUCUCUCAAUUUCACCACCGCCGCGUCCUCAGCCACAUUCUCUCUCAAUAUCGCCGUCCCGACCUCAUCACCGCUGUGAACUUGCUGUCGCCUCACUUGCAGACAGCGCGUGUCUCCAUCUCCGAUGCCGUGCUCAUUGUCGCUUGUUCCAAACGCUUCUUCCAUCUGUUGGGUGGGGAUUGUUGCAGCACGGCGACUGUGAGACGGUGACUGCGGGAAAGCCAUCGGCGUUAGCAAAGGGGAGGUGCCGACGUGGAGCUGCAAGAUAUCCUAAUGAAUCUUCGGAGUGAUUUCUGUACUCGACAAGUACAACAGAGGAAUAGGCAAGAAUCGUAGCACUGAAUUCAUCAUAUAUCCUCACUGCAAGUUAAUAAGGAAAUGAUGGCAGAUGUUUAUAGGAGUGUGAACGGAACUUCCGGCUCGAGAGACCCCUUAACCGGCUAACUCACUAUUGACUAACUCACUUAGGAAAGCUGGAAGCACAGAGUGGGACUAAUCGGCAGCGGUCUAACUAAACCGCUGCAGGAGCCUCUUUAUUCCUGCCUUUUUCUCUAGCCACCGCUGACCAACACUCAAACUAUUUUAUUAGUUUUCCCCCACUUACCCCAAGUACUCUUCCGUGAAACUUAUCUUUCCUGCACUACACCCGUCUCUCUCCCGUCUCUCUCUCACUACACACAAAGCUAUUUAAGCCCAAAAAGAAUAAUCAUCUAUCUCUUAGAAUGUCUGUCUGACUCUGUCUUCUCUCAUAGAUUACUCUUAUUUCUUUCUAGCAGCCAUUCUCUCUCUUCUCUCACUUCAUAGCAAGAAUAGAAUUUUCAUUGAAAUACAUAGUCCUGUAACUGGAAAAUCAAUAUCAACUCUUCAUUUCUCUCUCUACAUAUAAACAUAUUAUACAUAUAUAAAUAUGUGUAUUAGAGAUCAAUUGUCAACAUGUACCGAACUCUGUUUCUCUCUCUAUCUCUCUCUCUUUAAAAUAUAUUUGCCAUACCUGUGCUUUUAAGGGCUAAAAUUAAUCAAUGCAUGUAGUCGAUUAUGAAGCAUAAGCAGCUAUGGGAGCUUGGAUUGGAAUCUAAAGCAGCUGUUGAAGCUCAACUAUGUUUGAUUGGGGUUCAACUAUUGAAGUUUUCAUCAAUGGAUGUGUUCAAUUUGUGCCGACUGAUAUCCUGCAGGCAAUAAGUGCUAUUAGCGAGAUAAACAUGAUGAGUUCAAUGGAGGAGUCAAAUUGGGCAUCCCUGCCAAAGAACUUAUCGGAUAUGAUUCUGGACAAGUUGGUUUCAUUUCUGAAUAUGUUCGAUUUGGUGUGGUUUGCAAACCAUGGCAGUGUGUGGCAAUUGACAACAAACUUAAAUUCAUUCAAAAUAAGUUUUUUAGACUAGUUCCAUUCUUGAUGGUGCCUUGGAAAGAUGAUACCGACAAAAGACGUAGUCUAUAUAGCAUCACUCAUAAUGAGCUAUAUGAUUUUCAUUUACGGGUGCCUUACAAAAAGAGGCUUUCUGGUUCCUUACAUGGUUGGCUGUUUACUGUGGAAGAAUCCUUGGGCGUAACUCUAAUGAAUCCUUUUUAUUGGCGCCACCAUUGAGCUUCCUCCAAUAAUGGACUGCUUAGAAUUUGAACCUCCUCAUGAAAAUGGCGGUGAUAGUGAUGGUGAGAUCUUAUACGAGAUUGACGCAGUUCCUCCGAAGGUUGAGCUUGAAGUUGCAAAGACUAUAUUGCUAGUUGACCCUACUUCGUAUCCUAAUGACUAUAUUGUUACCGCCAUCUAUGGUUGUCGUUCUAACCUGGCAUUUAUUUGGGCAGGAGAUGAAGCUUGGACUUACAUUAGAUAAAAAGAGAUUUCAGGUUUUCAAGUUACUCUUAGAGCAAUUUGAGCAAGGUUGGCCUAUGCGGGUUGAAGUGAACAACUUGGGCGGAGACACCACCCUGUUUUGGGGAGAUAACCAUUCCAUUUGUGUUUCAACUUCCAAAUGGCCCGGAUGUCAGGCAAAUUCAAUAUUCUACACAGAAGAUUAUAAUAUCAUUGUAUACUAUCCCGCAUCUGGGUGCCGCAACAUUGGUAUCUUCAACAUAGAGAAUGAAAGCAUUGGGACCCAUUACAUCCUUGAUCCUUCACAUAACCAUAUGCCACCCUCAAUUCGGAUUGUGCCAACUGUUUUAGGAAAAUGAGUAUAGACUUAAUUUGUUUUUGGAUUGUCUUUUAGUCAAAUCUAUUUUAAUUUAGUUUUUUUUUGCUUAUCAUUUUGUGAUAAAGUAAUCUAUUUUUAUCUCUUGUUUUUUCAAAAUGUGAGAUCAAGCUUGCAAGACCUUUAAUUAAAUAUUAUUGUGGUUGUUUCUCAUUUCUUUAUUUGUAUUAUAAAUAUUUCCUGAGCUAGAAUAUAUAUAUAUAUAUAUUUCUCUUCUAUUCUUUUCUUUAGACUACAUUUUUCUUAUAUUUGAUCUGCUUGGUUGCAGCCAAGUAGCCUUGCUUGCUAGUUACGUGGUAUGGCAAUUUCUUGAGGUUGCCAGAGUAUAAUUAAGUAUAGUCAAAUGUGGAUUCCUUUUCAUGUACUAAAGAAUUGGAUGACAUUCAUGAAGGAAGCCUAUGCAGUUGUUUGAAUUUUUUAUUUUUUAAAUUCCCUGACAUGUCUUGAUUUACUCUUGAGGGCUCGAUCAUAAAAAUGGAUCUGAGUUUGGUUGAAUGUAAAUAUAUUGUUGAUGAAUGAAUAGCUUAUUAUUGAGCUACUUGGUUAACGAGUAGUCGUCUUCACUUAUGAUGCCAAAACUGAUCAGCAGCAGAUAAUUUGAUUGAUUCCCCUGUAUAGGUUUUUAUUUGUAUAUCUGUCACAGUAGUUCUUUAAAGCAUGUGAAGAUUAAAAUGCUUUGCCAAAUUUAUAUAUAUAUUCUUUAGAUUUGGGUUGCUGGUUUAGAUGAUUAGAUCUAAUUUCAGUGCACAACUUGGUACUUCUGAUAUCAUUCUGUUAAUGGUGAAAGCUGCCGAGGCCAAAACCGAACGACUUGUUUAACACAUGUUUAGUGGUUUUUGAAGCUGUAGCUUCAGUAAUCAAAUUUUUUUUUUUUUUUUUU